GUUUAUGUAGUAAAUAAAAUAUUACGGUACUUUUUCGUAGUGCAAGAGAGUUUUCCAUAGAUA
RNAcentral lists this transfer RNA (63 nucleotides) under Helix pomatia (Roman snail). RNAcentral describes it as "tRNA-Glu". Lineage: Eukaryota; Metazoa; Mollusca; Gastropoda; Stylommatophora; Helicidae. The record is from RNAcentral.